GAAGCUCAGUGGCAGAGCAUCUGCCUUUCAUUCCAAAGGUCCCAGGUUCAAUCCCGGGCAUCUCCU
Podarcis lilfordi (Lilford's wall lizard) is the source of this 66-nucleotide non-coding RNA. The record is from the annotation of a GenBank genome assembly. Lineage: Eukaryota; Metazoa; Chordata; Lepidosauria; Squamata; Lacertidae.